GUGAAAUCACUAGCUCUGGACAUUAUCAUGAGUUUUGAGCCAAACAGUAAGUACUAUAGUGUGGGCCCUAAAACUUCAGAGAAGAGGAAUGACAUGGAGCUGAAUGAUUACUGGCUAGUCCUAACUAAGGGAGUGAGGGGCUGAGCUGUGGGAAUGAAAACAGUGGCAACUGUGACCUCAUGACAAUUGAAAAUAGAGCAGGGGAAAUAUGACUAUGAUCUGCUCUGCACCAUCUGUAGAUCUGUCCUGAGGUGUCCUGUCAGAGUGGCCUGGAACCAUUUCUUCUGCAAGAUCUGCAUCCUACAGUGGCUCAGGAGGUACAGUACACUGGGUCAUGUCCUCAGUGUAACCUUAACUGGUUAUUCAUAAGAAAAGGUAGUAGCUGUGUUAUUAUGAAAGACAGGAGACACGUCCCUACUGUAGGAAACCUAUCAGGUCCAGCUUUAUGUUUGUCAUGUACAAAUUGAGGAAAACUAUCAGCCACCUCGGGAUUAAGUGUAACAAUGAUGGUUGCUCGGCCACCUUCCCUCUGUCUGAGGAGUUCCUUGGUGCACCGGUCAGCCCUGGAGCCAGCUCUGCCCCAUGGACUGUGGUGCUCUGCUCACACAGGCCACCCAGAACCAACACAACUGCUUCAAUUUGGAUUCCAGGCUAGAAUUUACCCUUGACAAUAUACAAAUGAUCUUGGUGUAAAUGGAUGAAUCCUCUUUGAUGAUGAUUAUGGUUACCCAAGGCAGCUGAAGCAGCAGGUGUAGUCCCAGAGGCAGAACCACAGAGCCAUCGCUAGCGCCCUCCGGAGGAAGAUGAGGAGAAUGCAGACACAAGUUAGGAGGCAGAUGGCACUCAUCUGUGAGAGUCUAGAGGUCAUGGGAGAGGCAGAGGAGGGACAGGAGGGUGAGGGAGAGGAAUAUGGAGAGGGGGAAGGAGAGGUGUAUGAGGGAUAUGGAGAGGGGGAAGGAGAGGUGU
Non-coding RNA from Oncorhynchus mykiss (rainbow trout), 966 nucleotides. The record is from RefSeq and is a predicted model, not a curated record. Lineage: Eukaryota; Metazoa; Chordata; Actinopteri; Salmoniformes; Salmonidae.